UACGUAGGUGGCAAGCGUUAUCCGGAAUCAUUGGGCGUAAGGGGUGCGUAGGCGGCUUCUUAAGUUUGUAGUGAAAUCGUAGAGCUCAACUCUAUUAAGCUACAAAAACUGGGUGGCUAGAGUGCGGUAGAGGCAAGUGGAAUUCCAUGUGUAGCGGUAAAAUGUGUAGAUAUAUGGAGGAACACCGGUGGCGAAGGCGGCUUGCUGGGCCGUAACUGACGCUGAGGCACGAAAGCGUGGGGAGCAAAUA
Molecule: ribosomal RNA, 250 nt
Filed under: uncultured prokaryote
Description: partial 16S ribosomal RNA
Rfam family: Bacterial small subunit ribosomal RNA
Source: RNAcentral